CCUACGGGAGGCAGCAGUGAGGAAUAUUGGACAAUGGGCGCAAGCCUGAUCCAGCCAUGCCGCGUGCAGGAUGACGGUCCUAUGGAUUGUAAACUGCUUUUGCACAGGAAGAAACAACGCUACGUGUAGCGUCUUGACGGUACUGUGAGAAUAAGGAUCGGCUAACUCCGUGCCAGCAGCCGCGGUAAUACGGAGGAUCCAAGCGUUAUCCGGAAUCAUUGGGUUUAAAGGGUCCGUAGGCGGUUUAGUAAGUCAGUGGUGAAAGCCCAUCGCUCAACGGUGGAACGGCCAUUGAUACUGCUAGACUUGAAUUAUUAGGAAGUAACUAGAAUAUGUAGUGUAGCGGUGAAAUGCUUAGAGAUUACAUGGAAUACCAAUUGCGAAGGCAGGUUACUACUAAUUGAUUGACGCUGAUGGACGAAAGCGUGGGUAGCGAACAGGAUUAGAUACCCUGGUAGUCCACGCCGUAAACGAUGGAUACUAGCUGUUGGGAGCAAUUUCAGUGGCUAAGCGAAAGUGAUAAGUAUCCCACCUGGGGAGUACGUUCGCAAGAAUGAAACUCAAAGGAAUUGACGG
RNAcentral lists this ribosomal RNA (576 nucleotides) under uncultured bacterium. RNAcentral describes it as "bacterial SSU rRNA". It matches the Rfam family "Bacterial small subunit ribosomal RNA", at positions 338 to 916 of the family's 1533-position model. The record is from RNAcentral.